Non-coding RNA from Triticum urartu, 603 nucleotides. Lineage: Eukaryota; Viridiplantae; Streptophyta; Magnoliopsida; Poales; Poaceae. The record is from RefSeq and is a predicted model, not a curated record.
UACUUGACAAGAAAUCUGCAUCAAUAGGCAUAAUCUUUGCUGACCUCCCUUUGUCAUGUAGAGCUGCCUGCUUCAGAUGAAUUAAAUGCCAUUAAACUCUAAGGUCUGUGCCAGCAUAUCUAAAUUUUUGCAGUUAAGAAUCAAGAUGCGAGUAGAAUGAAACCGGUGAGUCGGACUGGGCCUCCUCGAGCAUCUCAUGGAGGCACCUGCUGUCAGAGCUCCCCUUGGCAUCUUCCUGGAACUCCUGAUCGGCACAGCUGAGAAAGUACUUCAGCUCGGCGAAGCCACCAUGACCGCCGAAGUUGGAGACCAAGGCCGUGCUCUUUUCCCCAUGUCCGAUCCAUUGGGCCGUCGUCUCCUGCAGAAAUGUCAAGUCCACUUCAGCUCUAAAACACAGAGACAUUUCUCCAUCUUGGAAUCGCAGAGCCUGCAGAUUUUCCCAGCUGAAAGCACCUGUCCAUGGAGGCAUGCGGCUGGUGCUGGUGUGGGUCAGGAUGGUUUAGUGUGCAUGCUUGUCUCAAGCUGCUAGUGGAGAAUCUUCGCUUUGCUUUGCAUUGCUUCAGAAACUCGUCAGGAAUUUUGGAGAUGGCAUGCCGGUAAAAA